RNAcentral lists this ribosomal RNA (2931 nucleotides) under Escherichia coli. Its description in RNAcentral is "23S ribosomal RNA". It matches the Rfam family "Bacterial large subunit ribosomal RNA". The record is from RNAcentral. Lineage: Bacteria; Pseudomonadati; Pseudomonadota; Gammaproteobacteria; Enterobacterales; Enterobacteriaceae.
GGGUUGUGAGGUUAAGCGACUAAGCGUACACGGUGGAUGCCCUGGCAGUCAGAGGCGAUGAAGGACGUGCUAAUCUGCGAUAAGCGUCGGUAAGGUGAUAUGAACCGUUAUAACCGGCGAUUUCCGAAUGGGGAAACCCAGUGUGAUUCGUCACACUAUCAUUAACUGAAUCCAUAGGUUAAUGAGGCGAACCGGGGGAACUGAAACAUCUAAGUACCCCGAGGAAAAGAAAUCAACCGAGAUUCCCCCAGUAGCGGCGAGCGAACGGGGAGCAGCCCAGAGCCUGAAUCAGUGUGUGUGUUAGUGGAAGCGUCUGGAAAGGCGCGCGAUACAGGGUGACAGCCCCGUACACAAAAAUACACAUACUGUGAGCUCGAUGAGUAGGGCGGGACACGUGGUAUCCUGUCUGAAUAUGGGGGGACCAUCCUCCAAGGCUAAAUACUCCUGACUGACCGAUAGUGAACCAGUACCGUGAGGGAAAGGCGAAAAGAACCCCGGCGAGGGGAGUGAAAAAGAACCUGAAACCGUGUACGUACAAGCAGUGGGAGCACGCUUAGGCGUGUGACUGCGUACCUUUUGUAUAAUGGGUCAGCGACUUAUAUUCUGUAGCAAGGUUAACCGAAUAGGGGAGCCGAAGGGAAACCGAGUCUUAACUGGGCGUUAAGUUGCAGGGUAUAGACCCGAAACCCGGUGAUCUAGCCAUGGGCAGGUUGAAGGUUGGGUAACACUAACUGGAGGACCGAACCGACUAAUGUUGAAAAAUUAGCGGAUGACUUGUGGCUGGGGGUGAAAGGCCAAUCAAACCGGGAGAUAGCUGGUUCUCCCCGAAAGCUAUUUAGGUAGCGCCUCGUGAAUUCAUCUCCGGGGGUAGAGCACUGUUUCGGCAAGGGGGUCAUCCCGACUUACCAACCCGAUGCAAACUGCGAAUACCGGAGAAUGUUAUCACGGGAGACACACGGCGGGUGCUAACGUCCGUCGUGAAGAGGGAAACAACCCAGACCGCCAGCUAAGGUCCCAAAGUCAUGGUUAAGUGGGAAACGAUGUGGGAAGGCCCAGACAGCCAGGAUGUUGGCUUAGAAGCAGCCAUCAUUUAAAGAAAGCGUAAUAGCUCACUGGUCGAGUCGGCCUGCGCGGAAGAUGUAACGGGGCUAAACCAUGCACCGAAGCUGCGGCAGCGACGCUUAUGCGUUGUUGGGUAGGGGAGCGUUCUGUAAGCCUGCGAAGGUGUGCUGUGAGGCAUGCUGGAGGUAUCAGAAGUGCGAAUGCUGACAUAAGUAACGAUAAAGCGGGUGAAAAGCCCGCUCGCCGGAAGACCAAGGGUUCCUGUCCAACGUUAAUCGGGGCAGGGUGAGUCGACCCCUAAGGCGAGGCCGAAAGGCGUAGUCGAUGGGAAACAGGUUAAUAUUCCUGUACUUGGUGUUACUGCGAAGGGGGGACGGAGAAGGCUAUGUUGGCCGGGCGACGGUUGUCCCGGUUUAAGCGUGUAGGCUGGUUUUCCAGGCAAAUCCGGAAAAUCAAGGCUGAGGCGUGAUGACGAGGCACUACGGUGCUGAAGCAACAAAUGCCAUGCUUCCAGGAAAAGCCUCUAAGCAUCAGGUAACAUCAAAUCGUACCCCAAACCGACACAGGUGGUCAGGUAGAGAAUACCAAGGCGCUUGAGAGAACUCGGGUGAAGGAACUAGGCAAAAUGGUGCCGUAACUUCGGGAGAAGGCACGCUGAUAUGUAGGUGAAGCGACUUGCUCGUGGAGCUGAAAUCAGUCGAAGAUACCAGCUGGCUGCAACUGUUUAUUAAAAACACAGCACUGUGCAAACACGAAAGUGGACGUAUACGGUGUGACGCCUGCCCGGUGCCGGAAGGUUAAUUGAUGGGGUCAGCGCAAGCGAAGCUCUUGAUCGAAGCCCCGGUAAACGGCGGCCGUAACUAUAACGGUCCUAAGGUAGCGAAAUUCCUUGUCGGGUAAGUUCCGACCUGCACGAAUGGCGUAAUGAUGGCCAGGCUGUCUCCACCCGAGACUCAGUGAAAUUGAACUCGCUGUGAAGAUGCAGUGUACCCGCGGCAAGACGGAAAGACCCCGUGAACCUUUACUAUAGCUUGACACUGAACAUUGAGCCUUGAUGUGUAGGAUAGGUGGGAGGCUUUGAAGUGUGGACGCCAGUCUGCAUGGAGCCGACCUUGAAAUACCACCCUUUAAUGUUUGAUGUUCUAACGUUGACCCGUAAUCCGGGUUGCGGACAGUGUCUGGUGGGUAGUUUGACUGGGGCGGUCUCCUCCUAAAGAGUAACGGAGGAGCACGAAGGUUGGCUAAUCCUGGUCGGACAUCAGGAGGUUAGUGCAAUGGCAUAAGCCAGCUUGACUGCGAGCGUGACGGCGCGAGCAGGUGCGAAAGCAGGUCAUAGUGAUCCGGUGGUUCUGAAUGGAAGGGCCAUCGCUCAACGGAUAAAAGGUACUCCGGGGAUAACAGGCUGAUACCGCCCAAGAGUUCAUAUCGACGGCGGUGUUUGGCACCUCGAUGUCGGCUCAUCACAUCCUGGGGCUGAAGUAGGUCCCAAGGGUAUGGCUGUUCGCCAUUUAAAGUGGUACGCGAGCUGGGUUUAGAACGUCGUGAGACAGUUCGGUCCCUAUCUGCCGUGGGCGCUGGAGAACUGAGGGGGGCUGCUCCUAGUACGAGAGGACCGGAGUGGACGCAUCACUGGUGUUCGGGUUGUCAUGCCAAUGGCACUGCCCGGUAGCUAAAUGCGGAAGAGAUAAGUGCUGAAAGCAUCUAAGCACGAAACUUGCCCCGAGAUGAGUUCUCCCUGACUCCUUGAGAGUCCUGAAGGAACGUUGAAGACGACGACGUUGAUAGGCCGGGUGUGUAAGCGCAGCGAUGCGUUGAGCUAACCGGUACUAAUGAACCGUGAGGCUUAACCUUACAACGCCGAAGGUGUUU